UUCAUGUAGGUAAGCCAAACCUCUAGCAAUACCGACGCAAAUUUUCUUCCUUGUCGACCAAGUCAAUUUCAAUGGACAGUUUUCUUUGGCUUCAUUUUCAAAUGUCAUAGAAAAUUAGACGACAAAAUCAUAUGGUGUGUGUACACUGUACACAGAGAGACACACACAACAUUGUAGAUUAUAUUAAUGAAAGAGCUACAAAACUUGACUACAUGGAUAAAAGGUUUACCAAACAAAGCACAAGCAAGGCUAUUAUUUUCCAUGUAUUCAUAUAUUAGCAAUAACUGAUCUCCCUCCAUACAGCAACCGUAGAGCUUAACUAGACAAGGGUGUUGCAAAGCAGAAAUCAAGCCGAUCUCGUUUAUAAAUUCGCGGUUCCCUUGCUUUGAUUUAGAAGAAAGCUGCUUAACAGCUACUAUUUUGCCGUCUGAAAGAACACCCUGCAAUUUCAGGAGUUUAUAUUAUAUCUAUAUAUGAAAGAAGUUAUCGAGAAGUGAAAACAAUAAUAGAUAUUUCAAUGACAUUCAAAUUUCAAAUGAAAGUGUAGAUUGUCCACAAUACCUUGUAAACAGGACCAAACCCGCCCUCUCCAAUCUUAAACGCAAUAUCAAAGUUGUUAGUUGCUGCUUUGAUUUGCCGUAACGUAAAUAGCCCAGGUUGGAAAUCUAAACCCUUUAGCUCUGUUGAUUGCAGUAAAAAAGAAUAUAUAAAUAAAAUCAGAGAUAUUUUUUGAGUAACUUCCACAUCUAGACAUAAUGGCAGCUUUGACUAAAGAAUCUAUAUUUUUAUAAAAUCAAAUUCAGCCUGUUAUGUGUAUAAAGGAAUUUCCAAAAAUUCAUUUUUAUGGUUGCAAAAUCCCAAUUUUGCAUCAAAAUUCCUUAGAGUUUUAGAGUAAAACUAUCUUAGGUCUUACCCCUUUCUAACGGACCUAUAUGUUGUCGACAUCUUCUCCACCAAUAUAUACUGAAUACCAGUAAGAUAACUAGUCCUCCAGCAACAGCAGUCACGACAAUUUUCCAAACAGGCAUGCUACUGCGCUUUUCCACUGGGGGUGUAAAGUCUGUUUAAUUAUGAUAAAAUAUAAAAGACUUGCAUAUAGACCAUAUUAGAGGAUGAUGGAAUAAGAAGAACCAUGAAGAACUAUAACUGACCAGGAUCAACCGAUAUGGCCGAUAUAAGAGGACCAUAUACUGAAUCAAAUGGGAUACCGGUUGUCCCUUUCCCCGCCCAAUGAAGGCGAAUCUCCAACGUAUUACUAGUCACAUUAGCAGUGAAAUUCUUUAUGAUUGCCUUACCAACUCCACCGGCUUCUUUUGCAAUAUUGAAAUCCUUCAGCACCAACCUUCCCUGCAAAAUGGUUUAUAAUGGUCAAAGGAAACUUGUUCAAUACUAAACAUGUUGCUGAAAAACAUAAGAUGAUGAGAUCAUGCACCUGAAUAUAUAUGUCAAAUAUACGUCUUCCAAGGCUGUUAUAUGUUUGAUCAUCCGUAAACAUUAUCUCCGCAAAAUGGAGAUUUACACUGUAGUUUCCAUUUCCCAGGCAAAAUCCAUAAUAUGUUAGAGAAAGCGGCGAAACCCGUGCAUCCAUAUACAGUUUGGCAUUUUCCAUGGCAAGGUUGGUUUUUUUAGACCAGGUAUAGUAGUCCGCAAGGCUACUAUUACUAUCGAAGAAGUGACCAGUGUUGCUAAGUGCCCAGUUUGAUCCAGUUCGCUGAAAGCUUGCUGGUCCAACUUGACUUGAAUCAUCAUCAUAUGUCAAGCUUUCAUUAGAAGUUAUUUGCUUACCACCACAAUUUAUACGGAGAGAGUACGAAGCUGGAAUGGUCAAAAGAAAAAAAAUGCUAAGUACAAUAAGAUGAUCACAUUAUAAAUAAAAAUUGUAAGAUUAGAACCUAGAACAACAACCUUGGUUCGAAAGAAAACAAAUAUGAAAAACGCAAAAAGAGAAUACAAGGAUUUAUUGUAGAAAUAAGCUCAAAUAAGCAUUUGUAAGCUCAAAUAAGCCAAUUCAAACAGGCCCUAAGUAGAAAUUAUUAAGUUAAAAGCACCAGCAGGUAUCCUACAAUCUAAAGGAAAACCACGACAAAUCAACUUACUUUUAGGACAGCUGAAGUUCCCCAAACAUGAAACCCUUCCCCUAAGAAAAAAUAAUGGUGUGUAACAUAUCAGCAUAAUGACAUUAUAAAAUGUAUAAGCUAUAUGCAUAAAAUAAUUUAUUAUGAUUCAUGAGUAGUACAAAACUUACAAGUUAUUUCGCUUUGAAGAUGAUGCAAACAAGUUCCUGCGGCACAUGGUAAACAGAAAAAAGAUUAUAUAGUUUCUUAAAAUUGUUGAAACAAAAAAAGUAUGAAAAAACAAGGAUUCUUACACGGUUCCCUGUUGACAUGUCAACUGCUCUGGAUUUUCAAUGCUCAAAUUGUUAUACGAAAGAUCUCUGCAUGUGUCAAAUUAUGCAUGUGAUUCAGAAAUAAAGAUGUAACAAAGAACUAUAUGUAACGCUUUUUGGUAUAGAAAUAUCGAAAACUAGUUGUACAAAAAUUUAGCAUGCAGAAGUAAUAAUUAACCUCAAUAAACUAAAUAAGCAGCGUUUGAAGGAUUACUCACGUGUAGUCUGGUCUAGCAAUCCAAUUUGGAAGCGGUCCAGUAAACAGGUUUCCAGUUAAGUAUCUAAGUAAAACAGUAAGAUAAGAUUAAUGAAGACUAGAUUAUAGAUUAAUGAUAUCAAGAAAGAACUUUCUCCAAUGUUCUCAUCUUUCUCCUUAUCUCCACUUAUAGAUUUGCCUAUUUUCUAAUCAUUCUCAAUUUAGAUUUUCAGCGAGAGGCAGUGACAUGAUUAUCUCAUGGUGAUUUUAGAAUUAUAUAUAAAUUUAUUGGUCCGUAGUUUAAGAACAAAAAUAAAUAAAAUGUAUGCACAUAGACAUAGUUCUAGAUUGCAGUUCGCAACUGCAAUAGGGUUUUAGAGGUUUCUGCAAUGGCAUCUAUUAGAGAUAUAGAUUAGUAGCAUAUUAGUCCUAGUAGAGAGUAGUAUAAAUAACUUCUAACCACCCCAUUAGAGGGACUUUUCUCAUUUUGUAAUAUUCCAUUUCCAUCAAUAGAAAGAGUUUCUUAGUUUUCUCUCCUUCCUUCCAUGGAUGCCAUGCUUCCUAACAGCAUCACACUGCACUUGUGGCCGUAUUUUCCUGCACUGUUGCAGUGUAAUUGCAUUUUAGAACCAUGCAUGCACAUGGACUUGAAAUGGAUAAAUAUUCAUGAGAGAAAUGAAUCAGAUUCACUAUUUUCCACUUGCGGCUCUAUCUAAAAUCCAAUCUAUUAAUAAUCUCGUUGCUUCGUUGCAAACAAUUCUAACCUUGACUACAUCUGUUUAAAUCACACUAAUAUCUUGCAGGUAUCUUUAAGAAUUCAAUUUGGUGUAUACAAGAAACUCGGAGGAUAUUGCUUACAGCAUAUUUAUGUUCUUCAGGCCACCCAAGGUGUUCGGAAUCGGUCCAGUUAAUUUGUUAAAGCUGAGAUCUCUGAAAAAAAUUAUGCUCAGAAUAAAUAUUAUUCGACAAGAAAAAUGGUAUAGUCCCCAUAACAUAAUAAAAGAAGCAUCUUGUUUUUCACCAAAAUAUGAGUACUGAUUGCAUCUAUUGUAACUGGUUCUAACACAUGUGAAUAAUGCAAGUGAAUAAUGCAAGAAACUUCCUAGCAUUACUUACAAAGAUUUUAAAGUAGUAAUAUGUCCAAGAUAGUCGGGAACUUCUCCUAUAAGAUUGCAACUCCUCAGCACUCUGUCAAAAAAAUUGAUACUAUGUAAAUUUUUAAGUGCAAACAUGCACUUAUGCUAAUAAUCCAAGCAAUUCCCUUACAAUGUUUCAAUAUUUGUCAAGCCAAUAAGUUGCGGAAAUGGAGAAUCUGAUCCUUUCAAGUCGCUUAUUCUCCUGCAUAACAUUUCUUAAUCACUGUAAAACUCAAUAAGAGAAAAAUUGAAUUUUAAAUCCUUGACCAAAAUUUAUAAAGCACUGACACAAAUACCGAACACGAUACUGACGUUGACAUACAUGUAGUGUGUCGGACACUAGACUCGCAUUCAAUUUGAAACAUCGGUGUUAAAGAUCGCAAGAAAAUACAUCAUACUUACAAGUCAUUGAGGUUUUUCAGAUAUGAAAUUCCAGAAGGAAUUGGACCACUCAACCCACUCCCUUGCAUCACCCUGUCAAAUUAAAAGCAAUUCUUUCAACAAACCAGCUUAACUAAGAAAAAAAAUUAUGAUUUAGAAUUUCACGAGAAGAAACAAAAAGGUUCACACAUUCUCUCAAGAAUUGUCCAGCUCUGAAUGAAAUAAGGUAUAGUUCCAGAAAAUUGAUUGUCACAAAGUCGACUGCAUUUUCAGAAGGUAAACACAAUGAAUAAGAUAUUACGGUUCAUAUGAACAUCAAUAGAAUGAAUGUUUUUAAGUGUACCAAAAACAAUUAAGGGAAGGAUUUGUUACAUGUGCUUCAGUUUAGUGAGCUUAGCAAACGUUGCAGGUAAAUUACCAGUAAAAAAGUUCGAGGUAAGAAGCCUACAACAACAUUGAAAUUGGAAUUAGGUAUUGCAACUCUCAGUACGGUAAAAAUGAAUAAUUUCACCAAUUUUUUAGUUGUAGCAAUUUAGAAAAUGGCAGUGUAAUCACUUGCGGAUCACAUAACAUAGCAGUUUGUUCAAAUUCGGCUAUACUAUAACAUUGCUAUAGCCGCUAUUUGACAAAACUGGAAUAUAGAAAUUGUGAAUUCUACAAAGGAGCUUACAGUCUUUCAAGCUGGUGAAGAUUCCCAAGCUCUGGUGGAAGCUCUCCAGAUAACUGAUUGAACUUCAGAAUCCUAUGCAUUUAGUGUAUCAAACUUUAAGUUACUUGAAAGUUUUCAUAAAAUCUACAUAGGCAAAUUACUUACAAUUUUUGCAUAGUGCUGAUGUUUCCAAGCUCUUUCGGGAUUGAACCCGUUAAUCGGUUUCCUAUGAGUGAACUGUCACAAAGCAUGCAAAACUACUUAUAAGAUUAUAUUUCAAAAAGAAAACAAUAAUCUAAAACAAAAAUUUACAUAAAAAAUACCUAUUUCUUAGAAUUAUUUACUAUUUCUAAUAAUAGUAAUAAGAAUAGGAAAUAAAAGAAUGGUUAAGGGGAAAUACAUGUUGACAAGAUUCAUGGAACCCCAUUGUGGAGGGAUUGUACCAUUAAGGUAGUUGUUUGAGAGAUCACUGUACCACAUUAAGUAAAAUAAUCAAACAUUAAUACUGAAUUAUGAUAAUGAUAAAAAUUUAGUAAGGUAAAAUUAGAAUAACAUACAUUUGUUGGAGGUAAGGCAAUCUCACAAGUUCCUUUGGAAGUGUGCCAGAAAGAUUUUGUGAUCUGAGAACACUGCAUCAUAAUUAAUUAUAAGCUUGUGUUUUGACUCUAUAAGCUUGUGUAGCACCUUGAAAAAUAGGUUAUAAAUGAUGGACAGCUUAUAAGUCAAUUAUGUGCGAGUUGAGUUAGGUCCAAUUUAAAAUACUAAUAAUCUAUAAGAGCAUAUUGAUGCGAGUAUUUAUAUUCAAGCACCAAGUUCAAUAGUAUACAAUAUGAAAGAGAUUAUUGAAGGAAAAAGUACCGCAUAACAUAAAGAUAAAACUUAAAAUUAGUUUAUAAAGAAUAAUUGUUUUAUAGGAUUAGUAAGGCACAGUGUAAAAAUAUAAUAAUACCUGCACCAAACACAAAAUCGACACACAUAUGGAGAGCAAGAAAAUAACAUACAUGCUAACAAUAUGACAGACAGUGGCAUUGGCAAAAGUGCAAUUGCAUGUGACAGCAUUUUCAAACCCUUUGACUUUCACAGAAGAUUUCCAAUUAUUUUCUCCACUACAUGGAUCUUUGUUGAAGUCCCAAUCCUUCUUCCCAAGUGUCUUAGCUACAUCUUUCAUAACCUGUGCUGUAUAUUAAUUCAAAACCAAAAUUUGUUUUAAUAUCCUCAUGGAGACGAAAAACUUAAACAGAUAGCGAAAAUCGAACCUGAAACCUUGAGGAGAGCACAUUCCAAAGUCUCAAGUCAAAAUGACUAGACCAACUUAAACUAAGAGAGACGUUUAUAAGGUACAUACCUUCUUCUUGUAAGAGAGUAGCUCCACUAGCAAAUGAAGAGAUCAAACAAAAGGAAAGAAACAAAAGAUGCAAAGACUUGUUCAUGAUAGGCUUCAUAUUUGAAACAAGUGAAUGAAAGAAAAUGAAAUCAGUGGUUGAAAGUGUAAGGGUUAUAUUAAGCAAUUAUUGUAGCAUGAGAUACGUUCCCGGAAAGAGAUAUAUGGAAAAUAGACCACUCUAUGACUUAAUGAAAUGAAAAGUCAAUAGUAAUGUGAAAUAGACAAAAUUUAAGUAAGGGCCCGUGUACUUUCAUUUUUUCUGCUUUUUCAUUCAACUAGUACGUAGUAUAAGAUAAUAUACACUUGUUUACACUUACAAUAUUUUAAGUUGUUAACAAUGGUCUAUAAUCGAAGUUAUGAUAAUCCUUCAAAAAAAAUAAAAAAUCGAAGUUAUAAUAAGAACAAUGCAUGCACACCAUUUAGUUUAGGACAAAAAAAUCAUCAACAUCAUGAAAUAUAGAUUGUAUAUAACCAACCACACCAAGAGUUUUACAUUGAAAUAUUUAGUUUUGAUUAUCAUUGGUAUUUAUUUCAUUUUUUUUGUUUGAAUUCACAAAAUAGCACAAUCUUUGUUGACCAACCAUGGCCUCAAGUAAAAGUUUAAUGGAAAUGUUUCCCUCCUUUUUUUUAUAAUACUAACUAAUAUGGCCGCUGGUUUAAGAAGACUUCAACAGUUCGAUGACUUUUGUUUUCCACUUCCUUCUUUCCCAAUCACAUUUGAUUAUUUUAGUUUUUCACUAAGCACGUUCCAUCCAUAAUCAUGGGAUGCCCCAUCAACUCUUUUAAUAAGUGCUCUCCAUACCAUAACAUGACUUCCUUUCGUCAAACUCACGGAUUCGGCUAUACCUGCAAAACCAAUCAAAUGUAACGAGUUAAAACUUGCAAUACCUGUUCUUUGAUCCAUAUUGUGUGUAGAAACGUCCUAUCAAUUGAUCAACAAUGAUUUGGAACCAAGAUUUUGACAAAAGAUUUUUGAAAUGGGGAUUUUUUGUGGAAUGGUAUGGUGAGGUAAGGUGAUGAGUGAAUAGGACCUAGGGGUUUUCUUGUUUCGUGGGAGAAAAACAACGACAGUUAACUCCCGCUGGCUCCACCGGCAAUUAACUGCUGUCGGUUAACCCAACGGUAGUUAACUACCGCUGGGGACUCUAAUGUAAUUUACUUGUGUCAUUGUGAACUUUUGUAUGUCAAAAAGCAAUUUUCAAUGAUAAUUAAUUGUUAUGGGUACACUUAAAGUUAAAUGUAGAUGCGAUACCUAUUAGACCAUGUCCAAUGGUGUUUAAUGGGUAUGUUGAAAGCAACAUUCAACAAGUGAAAUGCUCCAAUGGCGGUGUUUAAUAGUGAUGUGGAUGAAAGAGAGGUUGAAUGGUUUCAACAAUGUUUAAUCUGACGCAAGGGAACACGUGGCGGACUUCAGUUGGCCAGAAAUGGCGCGUGAAGCUGCAGAGGCUGGAGAGAGAAACGGAAAUCAGGAUAGAUAUGGACACAUGUUCAGUUUUGAUUGGUUGUCCGGAUUCUUAUCAUUUUAAUAAUUGGACCUCAAUAUUUCGUUGUAAAUUAUUUUUUAAAAAAAAAAAAAACCAAAAUUCAUGAUUUUUUUCUCUCUAUAAAUAGAGACUUGGUUCAUUUGAUUUGGACAAAGAAAAAAAAACCAAGUUUUUCACUAUCUUAAUCUUAUUAUUAUCUUUCUAUUAGAAAACUAAGUGAAGUUUUAAUCUUAUUUUUAGUGAAAUGGAUCCCAAUAAUAACCAUUUCAACACCCAAAAUUAUUCUAAUUACCCAUUUAACUAAUAAAAUCCCAACAAUUAUCCAAAUCCAAAUCAAUUUUUCAACCAACGUCCUCAAAACUUACCUCAAAACAUACAUAAUUUUGGUUUUACACCAAAUUUCAACCAGUCAUCCUCUUUUCCAAACUUUCAUCCAUAUUAUGGAUCUAUGAUGAGAUAUCCAUCUCAAACACCACCGUUUAAUGGUUAUAUGCCAAUGGAGAAUGAAAAUUUUCCCAUUAUUGGUGCAUCUCAAUUUCCUGAAUUUCCAACACAUAUAACUCCUGGUGGCAUGGCUGUUGCUAAUGAAGUCACUCCAAAUCCAGAAGAUUCAACUCCUAAGAGCAACAAAAGUAAGGAACCAACAUGGAACACUGAACAACAUUUGGUGUUAAUUAGUGCAUGGAUUAAGUUUGGAACAAACAAUGUUGUCGGGAGAAUCCAGAGGGGUGAAACAUAUUGGGGUAAAAUUGAUGAGUAUUGUAUUGAGUAUGGCUCAUUUGAUUCUCCGCGGGAUCUAGUUGCAUGCCAAAACCGUUUUAAUUAUAUGAGCAAAGUAAUAAAUAAAUGGAUUAGUGCUUAUGAUGCCGCUAAGCGUUUGCAAGGAAGCGGUUGGUCGGAAGAUGAUAUUUUGGCAAAAGCGCAGGAAUAUUUGCAUGUGGGAAGAAUGUUCAAUUUACUUUAAACGAAGAAUGACACGCUCUCCGUGAUCAACCACGUUAUGGUAGUCAAAUGGGAGGAAAUGUUGGGUCAGGAAGUAGUGGAUCUAAGAGAUCUCAGGAGGACUUUGUAGGAUCUAGUGCUCGUCCAAUGGGUAGGGAGGAAGCUUAAAACAAAGGUAAAAAGAAAAUCAAGAACGCUGCCUUGGAGGAGGUGGAAAAGAAGUGGGUUGAAUUCAAAGAAAUCAAGGUGCAAGAGAUCGAACAAUUGAAAGAGUUCACCGCGGUGCAACAUGAGAAAUACAGAUUGAAGAAAAUGAAACUGUAUGUAAUGUUAAGUUCCGGAGAACAUCUCGAUGACCGGAAAAAAGAGAUGUUGGAAAACUUGGAACGUGAGCUGUUUGAAAAUUAAUUUCAAUCAAAUAUUUGUUUGUAUUCGGUAAUAAUUGUCAGUGUUGUCUAGUCCCAGUGUUUUCUUUAAUAAUUGUCAGUGUUUGCUUUAAUAAUUGUUAGUGUUGUCUAGUCCUCAGUGAUUGCUUUAUUAUCCCCAUUGAUAGUCCCCAAUGUUGUCUAGUCCCCUGUGACUUAUGUCACAUACUAUUUGCUUUAAUAAUUAUGCUCACUGUGUGCCCAUUAUUUCACAUACUAUUUGCUUUAAUAAUUAUCUCAACUAUUUGCUUUAAUACAAUACAAUAACUUAUUUCAAAUCCGUCAAUGUCCACCACACAAUGUACUUAUAUAUAGGGACUCAUAUCUACUUCCAAUUUCACAAAUCUCAUUCACAUCUACUUCCAAUUUCACAAAUCUCAUUUAUAUCUACUUCCAAUAUCACAAAAAACUAUUCAAUCUACUUCCAAAAAAACUAUUAAUGGACCCUUUUGAUAUCGAAGUUGUUGUACCCUGAUUUUGGACCUAAAAAUACUCGUUCAAAUUUCUUUUUUAACACUGAUAUUUGUCAAUUCUCUGUUAUUUUACUCUGAAUCUUUACUCUCUUUUUAAACGUAUUUUACUGCCUCUGUCUUUUCUGACAUUACAAGUCAUUUAAGAACUCUCUGAAACGUCGCAUUACUUUUCUUGCAUUUUNNNNNNNNNNNNNNNNNNNNNNNNNNNNNNNNNNNNNNNNNNNNNNNNNNNNNNNNNNNNNNNNNNNNNNNNNNNNNNNNNNNNNNNNNNNNNNNNNNNNGCGAACGGUGAUGGAAAUUUGAUUCCUCUAAUUCUUGAUCAUUAUGAACAACCUAGUACUGUUUAUCAUGUUCAUCUUUUUGAUAGUCCCUCUUAUGUUGCAGUCACUCCAAUUUUAACACAUCCGAAUUGUCAUGCUAGGGCUCGAUCCAUGAGACGAGCUUUUGGAGCAAAGAACAAAUUUGAUUUUGUUGAUGGUUCUAUACAUGUUUCUACGGGGUUUGAUCCAAGUUUCAAGUCUUGGAAUCGCUGCAAUAUGCUUGUUCAUUUGUGGAAAAUGAACUAUCUUGAUGAAUCAAUUGCGCACCACAUAGUUUUUCUGGAAAAUGCAAUUGACGUUUGGAAUGAGCUAAAGCAAAGAUUUUCGUAAGGUGAUUAUAUGAAACACGGCUGAAGUUUGCUAUAAGAAACAUGAUUUUCCUCCUCAUGCUAUCUACAUUAGGACUUGUUUGGGACUUUUGAAACUUAAAAGACCACUUUGGGAAAAACGAAAAACUUAAAAGGACCUUUAGAUGCAUUUGACCUUAAUAUUUCAAUAAGUUGAAUACAGAAUUUCCAAGAUAAAGUUUAUACUUCCAGUUUCUUUUUUUAUAUAUAUAGUUUAUUUUUUAAAAUCUAUAAGGAGAAUCCAUGCUGAUAGAACGCAUAUCUGUAUGAGACAUAAAUUCUGCAGUUUCACUUAUUAAGAUGCUCUCUUCUUGAGUCUCUGGUGUAUAAACUUUUUCACUUUGUUCACAAUACUGUUGAAUAAUUUCCAACUGUUGAUGAUACUGUUGAAUAAUUUCCAACUUAUUGCCUUCAAAAACUUGGUUUGUGUCUUGUAUAACUUCUUCAACAUCAGAUUGUCCUUCAAGCAUGCUUACAACUGAUGACAUGGUUGGUCUAUGCAUCGGAGAAACACGAGUGCAUAAAAGAGCUACAUUGAUCAUGAUCAUCGCUUCCUCUUUGUUGAAAUCUUCACCUAGCCUCUCAUCAAUUAGGUCCAUUAUGUUACCUUCUUCCUUUAAGAAAUGCACCUGAUAAAGAUGAAAUACAAACAAACUUCAAGAUAUUGUGAUGAAGACUCAAAUUGGAUAGAAGGUAUGAAGUUAUGGGUGUGUUAGUUACCCAAUCAACAAGAGAGAAGCAUUCAUCCCUUGGCUUAUUCAUGGUGUUGUGCUUCCCACUAACAAUUUCCAAGGCAACGACUCCAAAACUAUAAACAUCCACUUUCUCCGUCAAAUAUCCGUGCAUUGCAUAUUCUGGAGCCAUAUAUCCACUGCAACAUCGAAAUUUAUAUAUUAACUCAAGUGGAUUAAACUAAAUUUUAAGAGGUUUUAUUCUUUUCUUCCUCACAUUACACUUAGAAAAUGAUAAAUACCCUUCGACAAAUUCCAUAAAAAAAAAGAACACAUUGUAUAUAGAACUCACUAUGUGCCGGCUACUCUAGUAGUUAUAUGUGUGUGUCCGUCAUCUUUAAGCUUAGCCAAACCAAAAUCAGAUAUCUUUGGAUUGAGAUCUUUAUCGAGCAACACAUUAGUUGCUUUGAUGUCCCUGUGAACUAUCUUAAGCCUCGACUCUUCAUGUAGGUAAGCCAAACCUCUAGCAAUACCGACACAAAUGUUCUUCCUUGUCGACCAAGUCAAUUUCAAUUGAGCGUUUUCUUUGGCUUCAUUUUCAAAUGUCAUAGAAAAUUAGACAACAAAAUCAUAUGGUGUGUGUGUGUAUGCGCAGAGAGACACACAUAACAUUGUAGUGUAUGCGCAGAGAGACACACAUAACAUUGUAGAUUAUAUUAAUGAAAGUGCUACAAAACUUGACUACAUGGAAAAAAGUUUACCAAACAAAGCACAAGCAAGGCUAUUAUUUUCCAUGUAUUCAUAUAUUAGUAAUAACUGAUCUCCCUCCAUACAGCAACCAUAGAGCUUAACUAGACAAGGGUGUUGCAAAGCAGAAAUCAAGCCGAUCUCAUUUAUAAAUUCGCGGUUCCCUUGCUUUGAUUUAGAGGAAAGCUGCUUAACUGCUACUAUUGUGCCGUCUGAAAGAACACCCUGCAAUUCAAGGAAUUUAUAUUAUAUCUCUGUACGUGAAAGAAGUAAAAACAAUAAUAGAUAUAUCAAUGACAUUCAAAUUUGAAAUGAAAGUGUAGAUUGUACAAAUACCUUGUAAACCGGACCAAACCCUCCUUCUCCAAUCUUAUAGGCAAUAUCAAAGUUGUUAGUCGCUGCUUUGAUUUGCCGUAACGUAAAUAGCCCAGGUUGGAAAUCUAAACCCUUUAGCUCUGUUGAUUGAAGUAAAAAAGAAUAUAUAAAUAAAAUCAGAGAUAUUUUUUUGAGUAACUUCCACAUCAAUACUUUUAGCAAGUACAAAUCUAGACACAAUGGCAGCCUUGAGCUCUAUAUUUUUAUAAAAUCAAAUUCAGCUUAUUAUGCUUAUAAAAGAAUUUCCGAAAGUUAAUUUUCAGGGUCUUACCUCUUUCUAACGGACCCAUAUGUUGUCGACAUCUUCUCCACCAAUAUAUACCAAAUACUAGUAAGAUAACUAGUCCUCCAGCAACAACAAUCACAGCAAUUUCCCAAACAGGUAUGCUACUGCCUUUUUCCACCGGCGGUGUAAAGUCUGUUUAAUUAUGAUAUAAUAUAAAAGGUUGUCAUAUAGACCAUAUUAGAGGAUGAUGGAAUAAGAAGAACCAUGAAGAACUAUAACUGACCAGGAUCAACCGAUAUAGCCGAUAUAAGAGGACCAUGUACUGAAUCAAAUGGGAUACCGGUUGUCCCUUUCCCCGCCCAAUGAAGGCGAAUCUCCAACGUAUUACUAGUCACAUUAGCAGUGAACUUCUUUAUGAUUGCCUUACCAACUCCACCGGCUUCUUUUGCAAUAUUGAAAUCCUUCAGCACCAACCUUCCCUGCAAAAUGGUUUAUAACGGUCAAAGGAAACUUGUUCAAUACUAAACAUGUUGCUGAAAAACAUAAGAUGAUGAGAUCAUGCACCUGAAUAUAUAUGUCAAAUAUACGUCUUCCAAGGCUGUUAUAUGUUUGAUCAUCCGUAAACAUUAUCUCCGCAAAAUGGAGAUUUACAGUGUAGUUUCCAUUUCCCAGACAAAAGCCAUAAUAUGUUAGAGAAAGCGGCGAAACCCGUGCAUCCAUAUACAGUUCGGCAUUUUCCAUGGCAAGGUUAGUUUUGUUAGACCAGGUAUAGUAGUCCGCAAGGCUAUCGAAGAAGUGACCAGUGUUGCUAAGGGCCCAGUUUGAUCCAGUUCGCUGAAAGCUUGCUGGUCCAACUUGACUUGAAUCAUCAUCAUAUGUCAAACUUUCAUUCGAAGUUAUUUUCUUACCACCACAAUUUAUACGGAGAGAGUACGAAGCUGGAAUGGUCAAAAGAAAAAAAAUGCGAAGUACAAUAAGAUGAUCGUAUUAUAAAUAAAAAUUGUAAGAUUAGAACCUAGAACAACAACCUUGAUUCGAAAGAAAACAAAUAUGAAAAACACAAAAAGAGAAUACUAGGAUUUAUUGUAGAAAUAAGCUCAAAUAAGCAUUUGUAAGCUCAAAUAAGCCAAUUCAAACAGGCCCUAAGUAGAAAUUAUUAAGUUAAAAGCACCAGCAGGUAUCCUACAAUCUAAAGGAAAACCACGACAAAUCAACUUACUUUUAGGACAGCUGAAGUUCCCCAAACAUGAAACCCUUCCCCUAAGAAAUAAUGGUGUGUAACAUAUCAGCAUAAUCACAUUAUAAAAUAAUUUAUUAUGACUCAUGAGUAGUACAAAACUUACAAGUUAUUUCGCUUUGAAGAUGAUGCAAAUAAGUUCCUGCGGCACAUGGUAAACAGCAAAAGAUUAGAUAGUUUCUUAAAAUUGUUGAAACAAAAAAAGUAUGAAAAAACAAGGAUUCUUACACGGUUCCCUGUUGACAUGUCAACUGCUCUGGAUUUUCAAUGCUCAAAUUGUUAUACGAAAGAUCUCUGCAUGUGUCAAAUUAUGCAUGUGAUUCAGAAAUAAAGAUGUAACAAAGAACUAUAUGUAACACUUUUUGGUAUAGAAAUUUCGAAAACUAGUUGUACAAAAAUUUAGCAUGCAGAAGUAAUAAUUAACCUCAAUAAAUUAAAUAAGCAGCGUUUGAAGGAUUACUCACGUGUAGUCUGGUCUAGCAAUCCAAUUUGGAAGCGGUCCAGUAAAAAGGUUUCCAGUUAAGUAUCUAAGUAAAAAAAUAAGAUAAGAUUAAUGAAGACUAGAUUAAAGUUUAAGGAUAUCAAGAAACAACUUGCCCCAAUGUUCUACGCUUUCUCCUUAUUUCCAUUUAUAGAUUUACCUGUUUUUCUAAUCAUUCUCAAUUUAGAUUUUCAGCGAGAGGCCGCGACGUGAUUAUCUCAUGGUGAUAUAUAAAUUUAUUGGUCUGAAGUUUAAGAACAAAAAUAAAUAAAAUAUAUGCACAUAGACAUAGUUCUAGAUUGCAGUUCGCAACUGCAAUAGGGUUUUAGAGGUUUCUGCAACGGCAUCAAACUGCAAUUGUGGCCGUAUUUGCCUGCACUGUUGCAGUGUAAUUGCAUUUUAGAACCAUGCAUGCACAUGGACUUGAAAUGGAUAAAUAUUUAUGAGAGAAAUGAAUCAGAUUCACGAUUUUCCACUUGCGUCUCUAUCUAAAAUCCAAUCUAUUAAUAAUCUCGUUGCUUCGUUGCAAACAAUUCUAACCUUGUCUUCAUAAGUUUAAAUCACACUUUCUUUCAGGUAUCUUUAAGAAUUCAAUUUGGUGUAUACAAGUAACUCAGAGGAUAUUGCUUACAGCAUAUUUAUGUUCUUCAGGCCACCCAAGGUGAUCGGAAUCGGUCCAGUUAAUUUGUUAAAACUGAGAUCUCUGAAAAAGAAAUUAUGCUCAGAAUAAAUAUUAUUCGACAAGAAAAAUGUUUUAGUCCCGAUAACAUAACAAAAGAAGCAUCUUGUUUUUCACCAAAAUUUGAGUACUGAUUGCAUCUAUUGUAACUGGUUCUAACGCAUGUGAAUAAUGCAAGAAACUUCCUAGUAUUACUUACAAAGAUUUUAAAGUAGUAAUAUGUCCAAGAUAGUCGGGAACUUCUCCUAUAAGAUUGCAACUCCUCAGCACUCUGUCAAAAAAAUUGAUACUAUGUAAAUUUUUAAGUGCAAUGCACUUAUGCUAAUAAUCCAAGCAAUUCCCUUACAAUGUUUGAAUAUUUGUCAAGCCAAUAAGUUGCGGAAAAGGAGAAUCUGAUCCUUUCAAGUCGCUUAUUCUCCUGCAUAACAUUUAUUAAUCACUGUAAAACUCAAUAAGAGAAAAAUUGAAUUUUAAAUCCUUGACCAAAAUCUAUAAAGCACUAACACAAAUACCGAACACGAUACUGACGUUGACAUACAUGUAGUGUGUCGGACACUAGACUCACAUUCAAUUUAAAUGUCGGUGUUAAAGAUCACAAGAAAAUACAUCAUACUUACAAGCCAUUGAGGUUUUUCAGAUAUGAAAUUCCAGAAGGAAUUGGACCACUCAAACCACUCCCUUGCAUCACCCUGUCAAAAUUAAAAGUUAUUAUUUUGACAAACCAGCUUAACUAAGAAAAAAAAUUAUGAUUUAGAAUUUCGNGAUCGAUUUUGAGCAACCUGGGGGAAGUGGAUCAAGUACACCGCAACCAUACUCGACCGGGGUGUUACCAGCUUUUGCAAAUCAUGUGCGUGCUAGAUCCGAGUUGCGUCAUCCAGAUGUUCGUCACGAACUGCAAGUAGAUCUAGUGAAGCACAUAUGGACAAAGUUUGGAAUGUAUCAUGAUUGAAGAUGAUUUCUAUCGUACUAAAUAAAUUAUUUGUGUGUUGUAUUUCAUUUUAAGUUAUUUGUGUGCCGCGUGUUUAGUUUGUUGUAUUGCAUUUUAAGUUAAGAAAAUAAAAAUAAAUUAUUUUGCAAAAUUUUGUUUUUUUCAAAAAACCUAAAAAAUAAAUAGUUAAUUGUAUUAUUUUAAUUUAAUUAUAAUCGAUAAUUUUAUGUAACUAUAAAAACAAAAAUUAAAUAAGAAUAAGAAAUACAAAGUGGUGGGGUAGAGUGUUGAAUGAAAAACCAUUGGAGAGGGUAAAAGUUGAAUGAGUAUUGAAUAAGAGAGAGAAAAUGAUGUGGAGUGUUGGAAAUUGAAAAAAUAGGUGUUGAAAGGGAAAAUCAUUGGACAUGGUCUUACAAUCCAUCUAAAUAAAAGUUUUUAUUUUUUUAUUUUUUUUUACAAAAACAAAACGAUAUUCAUUCAUUCAAAUCGAUAGAGUACAUCAGAUACAAACAUCACUAAAAACGUAAAGGGUGAAUUUGCGAACAAACUCACAACACCCAAUUUAACAGCAAUAUAAUAAAUUUUCUUUCUUUCAUCUCUAGUUUUCUCUCUUAAUUUCUAGAGUGUGAUCCCUACUCGAAUUGGACCAUAUCAUAAUGCUACUACAAUUAUGAUUUUUGGUACACUUUAAUUUAUGUUUAUGAAAGAUUUCCAUAUUGUAGACAAGCUCAUAAGAAUUUUAUAGACAAACCCUAUAUUAUAAUUGUCGUUUGACAACAUAAUAUUAUAAAAAUAUAGUUUUUGUGGGGAUUAUGAAAAUAUUCUUAUUACCAUUAUUCACUCAUAUAAAAAUAAGCUCAUAAGAAUUUUAUAGACAAACCCUAUAUUAUAAUUGUCUUUUGACAAAAUAAUAUUAUAAAAAUAUUGUUUUUGUGGGGAUUAUAAAAAUAUUCUUAUUACCAUUAUUCACUAAUAUAAAAAUAUUGAGAAAAACGUCAUUCCAUAAUUCCUCUAAAAAAGAAAACACAUUCCUUAGUUAUAGUGUAUGUUCGCUCAUGAAUUGAAUUAUAAAAUAAAUCACACUUAAUUUGAACUUAAUUUGAACAAGAUAAACGAAAUGAUAAACAUUAUAUCCUUUUUCAAUAAAACUAAUUAAUAUUAUUUAUUUGGAAAAUUAAAGGUUUUUUUUUUUUUUUUGUAACAAAGUUUGUUUUUGUUACGUGCAAAUUUAAAUUUCCAUGAAAGACAGGAUAUGAAAGUUUUUGUUACCUAUAAGGUGUGUUUGAUAUGCUAAAAAAUGAAGGAUAAAACAUAACAACUUCAGUUGUAUAAUGUUUGAUUUGUAAAACUCUUUAGGGAUAGAACAAAUUGAAGGCAAAGAACAUAACAAAAAGCGUAUAAGGCUAGAUAUUAUUCAAUACUAUAAAAUUUUGUUACGUGUUGUUCUGUCUUAUUUUGUGCUAUAUAUUUUGUUUUGAGGAGUUCUGUCCAGUUGUUACUGUUUAACAUAUCAAACACACCCAUAAUAAUGGUUUCUUGUGUAGUUAAAAUUCUAUUAUUAAGAUCAAUAACAUUGUUAAAAAUCUCAAGUGCAAAAUAUAAUAACAAUUCUAAUGGAAAAAACAAAAGACUUCGUUAAUGUUACUUCAAAAAAAAAAAAAGACUUCAUUAAUGUUAAAAAAGGAAGAAAGAGCGAGUGAUAGAGAGAGGAUCCAUCAAUUUAUUUAUUUUUUGUUUUUGGUGAAAUGACCCAUCAAUUUUACCAGUGAGAUGAGUGUAUGUAAAAAAAUAAUGAAUUUAUUGGAGAGAGGGGGUAAUGUAUCACAAUUAUUUAUUAUUGAAGAAAAGAUUAGACAUCAAAGUUAUUUGAAAGAAAGAGUGAAUGCGAGAAAAAAAAAAAUUUAUUGCUGGAUUAGAAUGAGGGUAUAAUAAAAAAAACAAAAAAGUACACUUCAUUAAUUUGAGGGUGUUAUUCUAAAAUGACACGUAAAAAGAAAUAGAUGAAAUAUAAUUAUCCUAGUAAAUAGAUUUUCAAUGAGAAGCUCGUUUUAUUCAUUUUGAGAUGGAAAAGAUAACAAAAUAUUAAAAUAAAAAAUUGAGGUUGUACCAUGUUAAACUUGUAAAUAGAACUGAGAAAUAGUUAACUUGUGCAACAAGUUAACUUGAUAUGCAAGCUUCUGCAUAAGUUAGACAUUAGAAUAAUGACAGCUAUGAGUUAGUUAGGAUUAUACACAUAACACACAUUCUCUUUUCUUCCUAGCUUCUGCAAUUUCUAUGGUUUUCAUUAUGUUGAUGAUGAACUUCAUGACAGUAUCAGAGCUAAUGCCGCUGCGAACGGUGAUGGAAAUUUGAUUCCUCUAAUUCUUGAUCAUUAUGAACAACCUAGUACUGUUUAUCAUGUUCAUCUUUUUGAUAGUCCCUCUUAUGUUGCAGUCACUCCAAUUUUAACACAUCCGAAUUGUCAUGCUAGGGCUCGAUCCAUGAGACGAGCUUUUGGAGCAAAGAACAAAUUUGAUUUUGUUGAUGGUUCUAUACAUGUUUCUACGGGGUUUGAUCCAAGUUUCAAGUCUUGGAAUCGCUGCAAUAUGCUUGUUCAUUUGUGGAAAAUGAACUAUCUUGAUGAAUCAAUUGCGCACCACAUAGUUUUUCUGGAAAAUGCAAUUGACGUUUGGAAUGAGCUAAAGCAAAGAUUUUCGUAAGGUGAUUAUAUGAAACACGGCUGAAGUUUGCUAUAAGAAACAUGAUUUUCCUCCUCAUGCUAUCUACAUUAGGACUUGUUUGGGACUUUUGAAACUUAAAAGACCACUUUGGGAAAAACGAAAAACUUAAAAGGACCUUUAGAUGCAUUUGACCUUAAUAUUUCAAUAAGUUGAAUACAGAAUUUCCAAGAUAAAGUUUAUACUUCCAGUUUCUUUUUUUAUAUAUAUAGUUUAUUUUUUAAAAUCUAUAAGGAGAAUCCAUGCUGAUAGAACGCAUAUCUGUAUGAGACAUAAAUUCUGCAGUUUCACUUAUUAAGAUGCUCUCUUCUUGAGUCUCUGGUGUAUAAACUUUUUCACUUUGUUCACAAUACUGUUGAAUAAUUUCCAACUGUUGAUGAUACUGUUGAAUAAUUUCCAACUUAUUGCCUUCAAAAACUUGGCUUGUGUCUUGUUUAACUUCUUCAACAUCAGAUUGUCCUUCAAGCAUGCUUACAACUGAUGACAUGGUUGGUCUAUGCAUCGGAGAAACACGAGUGCAUAAAAGAGCUACAUUGAUCAUGAUCAUUGCUUCCUCUUUGUUGAAAUCUUCACCUAAUCUCUCAUCAAUUAGGUCCAUUAUGUUACCUUCUUCCUUUAAGAGAUGCACCUGAUAAAGAUGAAAUACAAACUUCAAGAUAUUGUGAUGAAGACUCAAAUUGGAUAGAAGGUAUGAAGUUAUGGAUGUGUUAGUUACCCGAUCAACAAGAGAGAAGCAUUCAUCCCUUGGCCUAUUCAUGGUGUUGUGCUUCCCACUAACAAUUUCCAAGGCAACUACUCCAAAACUAUAAACAUCCACUUUCUCCGUCAAAUAUCCGUGCAUUGCAUAUUCUGGAGCCAUAUAUCCACUGCAACAUAAAAAAUUAGGUUGGAAAAUGAUAAAUACCCUUAAAAAAUUCCAUAAAAAAAAGAACAAAUUAUAUAUAGAACUCACUAAGUGCCGGCUACUCUAGUAGUUAUAUGUGUGUGUCCGUCAUCUUUAAGCUUGGCCAAACCAAAAUCCGAUAUCUUUGGAUUGAGAUCUUUAUCGAGCAACACAUUAGUUGCUUUGAUGUCCCUGUGAACUAUCUUAAGCCUCGACUCUUCAUGUAGGUAAGCCAAACCUCUAGCAAUACCGACGCAAAUUUUCUUCCUUGUCGACCAAGUCAAUUUCAAUGGACAGUUUUCUUUGGCUUCAUUUUCAAAUGUCAUAGAAAAUUAGACGACAAAAUCAUAUGGUGUGUGUACACAGAGAGACACACACAACAUUGUAGAUUAUAUUAAUGAAAGAGCUACAAAACUUGACUACAUGGAUAAAAG
RNAcentral lists this long non-coding RNA (19501 nucleotides) under Medicago truncatula (barrel medic). Its description in RNAcentral is "long non-coding RNA (MTRU_LNC008693)". Lineage: Eukaryota; Viridiplantae; Streptophyta; Magnoliopsida; Fabales; Fabaceae. The record is from RNAcentral.